UAGGUGUUCCCUUCGGGGACGCUGAGACAGGUGGUGCAUGGCUGUCGUCAGCUCGUGUCGUGAGAUGUUGGGUUAAGUCCCGCAACGAGCGCAACCCUUGUCAUUAGUUGCCAUCAUUAAGUUGGGCACUCUAAUGAGACUGCCGGUGACAAACCGGAGGAAGGUGGGGAUGACGUCAAGUCAUCAUGCCCCUUAUGACCUGGGCUACACACGUGCUACAAUGGACGGUACAACGAGAAGCGAACCUGCGAAGGCAAGCGGAUCUCUUAAAGCCGUUCUCAGUUCGGACUGUAGGCUGCAACUCGCCUACACGAAGCUGGAAUCGCUAGUAAUCGCGGAUCAGCACGCCGCGGUGAAUACGUUCCCGGGCCUUGUACACACCGCCCGUCACACCAUGAGAGUCUGUAACACCCAAAGCCGGUGGGAUAACCUUUAUAGGAGUCAGCCGUCUAAGGUAGGACAGAUGAUUAGGGUGAAGUCGUAACAAGGUAGCCGUAGGAGAACCUGCGGCUGGAUCACCUC
RNAcentral lists this ribosomal RNA (522 nucleotides) under uncultured bacterium. RNAcentral describes it as "bacterial SSU rRNA". It matches the Rfam family "Bacterial small subunit ribosomal RNA", at positions 1008 to 1529 of the family's 1533-position model. The record is from RNAcentral.